Molecule: unclassified non-coding RNA, 363 nt
Filed under: uncultured bacterium
Lineage: Bacteria
Description: contains 16S-23S intergenic spacer region
Source: RNAcentral
UCCCCGUUACCGAGGCAGUCUGGCUAGAAAAAUACAACUAACCAUAAGGGUUGCGCUCGUUGAUGGACUUAACCAAACAUCUCACGACACGAGCUGACGACGGCCAUGCAACACCUGUCACUUGGCUCAAUAAAGCACUCUCUGCUUUCGCAGAAAUUCCAAGGAUGUCAAACCCUGGUAAGGUUCUAGGCUUAUCAUCCGAUUAAACAACACGCUCCACCGCUUGUGCGGGUCCCCGUCAAUUCCUUUGAGUUUUAAUCUUGCGACCGUACUCCCCAGGCGGGAUGCUUAACGCGUUAACUUCGCUACUAACCGGGUCGAUACGGCUAACAGCUAGCAUCCAUAGUUUACGGCGUGGACUAC